This 83-nucleotide transfer RNA is filed under the name Gymnopus androsaceus JB14. Its description in RNAcentral is "tRNA-Phe". Lineage: Eukaryota; Fungi; Basidiomycota; Agaricomycetes; Agaricales; Omphalotaceae. The record is from RNAcentral.
GGGGGUAUAGCUCAGCUGGGAGAGCAGCAGACUGAAGUCUCGAGUAUUUCUGAAGGUCCCGCGUUCGAUCCGCGGUACCCCCA